AUAAAAAACGCUGCGUCGGCGUUUGGGAUAGACAUGAACAUGUCUCCUCCUACGUUUUCAAUGCUAUCGGAUUUUGCUGAAACGGCGACGACAUGAGGGAGAUCAAAGUUGAUGCCUCGAAUCCAUGGGAAUGCCUUGACUAAAAGGCUCAAAGCAGUCCCGUUACCACCACCGACAUCGACCAGGCUUUCGACUCCGUCGAACACUUCGGGACAUCCUUCGAUUGUCGCCUGCACCGUCAGUCUAGCAUCGCAACCCAUGGCGUUGUUAAAGAGUUCUCUAAAGUCGGGGUUCGCCUCGGCGUAGCUCCAUAGAUCUUUCCCAUUUGCUACUUCAAAUGGUGAGAUAUUAUUGCCGGUUUCAAGGACUCGAGCACUAAGACUAUGCCAUGGUGCUAACCAAGUAGGGCUGGACACGAACAAUAUUAAAGCAGCCAUGGAUUUUUCUCCACGUUUUAUCAAAAGACGAGACAAUGGCGUCGAUGAGAAGCCUACAGUGUGGUGGUUGAUGUGCUCUUGUUUGAAUAUUCGGUCGUGGACCAUGAACCUCAUAAUGCGAUGAAGACGCGACGGUUCGCAUCGGAGGGCAGUGGCUAGCUCGGAUAGUGGCAUAGGGCUUCCAUAGUUUUCAAUAGUGUCGGCAAUCCCAAGCUCAAUGGCACAUUUAACGACAGCUAUUUUAGCAUAUCCUAACACAUAAUUCCAAAUCUUUAUUUCAGCUCUAGCUUCUUCCUUUACUGUCACUUCCAUAUCUCCCAUCUCAACUUUUUUUUUUAUUUUUUUUUAUUUUAGAACUUUUGGCAACUCUAUGCCCAAAUCUUGACCACGAAGCUACGAUUUAUAGAAGCAAAGGUAUUGGUUUGAACUAGGUCACAGUUCUUGAAUUUGAAAAUAUCUUGUCAAAUAUGCUCCUAACCACAAAACAAUUAUUAGAUUAAUUUGGUAAAAAAAUUACAGUCCAAUUAUUUGAGGUGUACCAAAUAGUAUAUGUAACUUAGAUUUUGGUUAACUUUUACCAUAGUACUUCAAUAGCAAUUUAUGAAUUUAAUCUUUAUAUUUUUUUAUUGAUUAAUUUCUAUCACAUUUCAAAAAUCGAGCUAAAAAAAAUUGGAUUAAUGGAUCAAGAAUUAACACGUCAUGACUUUUAAUUAAAACUUUGUAAAAUUAUGAUAAAAAUGAAUUAUCAACUAAGAAGAGAGUCUAAUUGACUUAGAGACUUGAGUUAUGUUUCGUGGGAUAUUCUCACAUUUUUCUGCCAUUCACUUCUACUUUAUUUAUGUGGUAAUGGGUGUAUGUGUGUGAUAGUGGGAUUGAUGGGUUUUUUUAACCAACUUUAUUCAGGAUCUUUCAUUUUCUGGACACUUUUACCCAAAAUCAGACACAGCUCAUCAUCUCAUAUUAUCUAAAAUUGUGUGGUAUAUAUGUUUAUAGGGUCAACUCAAAAAAAUAUUUUAAGAAAAUAAUAAUAAUUUUUGAAAAAUAAAAAUACAAUUUUAUAAAUUAUUGUUAUUUUAUCUUUUUUUUUCGUGUUUGUCUUCGUCCAUAAUGUUUAUCGAUGCUUAUCAGAUUAUUUACCCUAAAUAUUUAUUGUCACUCUUCCAGUAUAAGACUUAUUUCAUUCGAACUUUAAUUGGUUAAAACUUAAAAUGAAAUAUUAUUAUAUUAGAGAGAUUUAUUAUUGUUUAAAUUUGAAUAUAUUUUAAUUUUUAAUCUAUUAUAUUUUUGAAUUGAUUUAUUCUAAUUCUAAUUGAUCAAAUAUGUAUUAUUUGUAACUUUUACUAAAAUUUUUUUAAUACGAUACAUUAUGUUCGUACCCUUUAAAAUUUUUUUGAAAAAUUUUAAAAAUAGAAUAUAGUAUAAUCAAGUACGACCACGUAUGUAUGAUGAUAUAUAAGGAAUUAUAAAGUUGAAUUAAACUAAUAUAAACUGCAAAUAAAUUAAGAAUCGGAAUAAUUUGAACUAAAAACGACGUAGAACAAUUGUGCAGGAAGAGAUUCAGACUUUAGUACACAAAAUCUAAGACCUUGACCUUUAUCAACAACUUCGAAACUUACUUUAUCCGGAUCAAAAUAACAAUCAUAUUUUAAUUGUUUUUUGCAUUCAAUCAAAAAUUAUUCCAGAGAUAGAAUUGAAGAUUGAAAUAAUUAUUGAACAAAGGGAAUUACUAAACGAAGAGCAAGACUGAAACAUUUCUCAUGCAACAAAGUUUUAAUUGUUUUGUAGAAGUGGAUGAACGACUGUGAAGAGCCAUAGAUGUUGUUUUCUAAGGAUAACCCUCGAUGACGGAUUGAACUGCACGUAUGGGAUUAACAGUGAAUCAUUUAAAACCAGAUUGUCGAAGAACAUAGCUCCAUUCCUUUAAGGUCCUCUCUUUCCCUUUAUCAAUAUGAGCCAUCAUCGCCAUGUCUAGCAUCAACCCCACGAAACCUAGCUCGUCGUCUUCUUUAUCUUCUUCAAGAGCUGCUUCAACGAUUAUAACCUUCCCUUUAUCUUCUGGAAUGGCUUCUCGACAUUUUUUUAGGAUUUUAAUGCAUUCCUCGUCGUCCCAAUCAUGCAAUAUCCACUGCAAUUUGCAAUGUAUGGAUUAAUCGUAUAAGACCAUAUAAUGAAGGGAAAAAAAGUACUAACCAUUAAAAACGCUGCGUCGGCGUUUGGGAUAGACAUGAACAUGUCGCCUCCUACGUUUUCAAUGCUACCGGAUUUUGGUGCAACGGCAACGACAUGAGGGAGAUCAAAGUUGAUGCCUCGAAUCCAAGGGAAUGCCUUGACUAAAAGGCUCAAAGUAGUCACGUUACCACCACCGACAUCGACCAGGCUUUCGACUCCGUCGAACACUUCGGGACAUCCUUCGAUUGUCGCCUGCACCGCCAGUCUAGCAUCGCAACCCAUGGCAUCGUUGAAGAGUUAUCUAUGGCCGGGGUUUGUCUCGAACUAGCUCCAUGGAUCUUUCCCGUUCGCAGCUUCAAAUGGUGAGAUAUCAUUGCCGGUUUCAAGGACUCGAGCACUAAGACUAUGCCAUGGUGCUAACCAAGUCGGGCUGGACUCGAGCAAUAUAAAAGGGCCCAUGGAUUUUUCUCCAUCUUUUAUCAAACGACGAGACAAUGGCGUAGAUGAGAAGCCUACAGUGUGUUGGUUGAUGGGUUCCUGUUUGAAUAUUCGGUCGUGGACCAUGAACCUCAUAAUGCGAUAAAGACGCGACGGUUCGCAUCGGAGGGCAGUGGCUAGCUCGGAUAGUGGCAUAGGGCUUCCAUAGUUUUCAAUAACAUUGGCAAUCCCAAGCUCAAUGGCACAUUUAACGACAGCUAUUUUAGCAUACCCGAACACAUAAUUCCAAAUAUCUACUUCAGCUCUAGCUUCUUCUUCUUCGAUUCCACUCACUUCCAUUAUUAUUAUUUUUCUCUUGGAAAACUUUAUAAUUCUAUUCGCAACUCUUGAGGAUGAAAAGUUUUGUUGAAGACCCCGAUUUAUACGAGCAAAGGGUUAGAUUUUCUCUCUUCAAUUUCAGUUUUUUUCCUAAAAUAAAUUAAAUCUAAUUGAAAAUAUCAAAAUUUAGGAGAAAAACUGAUGUGACAUUAUGACAUUAAAUUAUUAAAAAAUGAUACAAAUGGCGUGUGAUUUCAAAUUCAUACAAUCAUGAUGAACAUCCUAAAAUAAUAUAAUUAUCAUGAUAUAACUUGGUGGAACAUUUUUUAAUAUAUAUAUUUAUGUGUUUUUUAAUGGAAUUUUUUUUAAUAUAGUUGUUUCCACCACUGAUUUCCUUUGGAAAAUUUUAGUUAUUAUCGUGAUUAAAAUUGCUUGAUUCUGCUCAACUAAUAAGGGAGAUUUUUUAUAAAUUGUAUUAUUGAACCUAAAAGUUUAACCAUGAAGGAGUGGUUGAAUGACAUUGAAUAAAAAUAAUAAAAGCUUAAUAUAUUAAUUGAUCCUUGAAUUUAACAGUUUUUCUCACAUUAGUUCUUAGAUAUUUCUUUGGAUUAUAUUAGUCUCUAAAUUUGGCAACCAUUACAGACACCAAUUUCUAAGGUUAAGGGUGGGUUUGGAUAGGCGGUACGUUUACUUACGAUUAGUGUAAAAACAGCAGUGGCAGUGAGAUUAGAUACUGUAGCGAUAUUGUAGUGUGAGACAAAAAGUAAGAUAAACGCACCGCACCCAGUCAUCCAUCCAAACUCACCCUAACACCAUUUAGUUUUUAGCAAUUUUGGUGACAUGGACUAAUAUCGUUGUGAUACAUGCUAUAUAUAUAUAUAUAUUCAACUUUCUUUAUAAUAACUACCCAUUAUAACACAACAUUUCGCUAUAACAAUAAAAUUUUUAUCAGAAUUGAUUUUUUAUGUUUUAUUUUAACCUUCUAUAAUAAUUUUUCACUUAUAACAAUAAUAGCUAUAAUUAUGAAGUACAUCCUUUGUUAAAUCAGUUCUUUAAAACAACACCUUGCUUAAAAUUUUAAGUAAAACUAUAACUAUUCAUAUAAGCAAACCUAUUACUUAGAAUUUGAUCUUCUUCUUUUGUUCUUUUCCUUUUUCUUUCUUUUAAUUUUACAUUUUUUUAUAACAUUGAGAGUUAAUCUUAAAAGAAAGAAUAACAAUAAAAGUUAUUAUUUAGAAUUUUUGGGUGUUUUCAUUUUUUUUUGUUUAUUUUCAAUCAAAUUUAGCUAAUAAAUUAGACUUUUAGCUUUUUAGGUGAAAAGAUCAGAAGAACAACAAAAUUACAAAAAAAAGACCAAAUUACACAAUGUGUAAACAUUGAGGGUUAGAUUGUUUAGAAUCAAGACUAAUUUGACCCAAUAUAUAAAUGUUAAAGAUUAAGGUUGCCAUUAUGCCAAUUUUAGAAGCUACCACCGCUAGCUUGUUGGUGACAAAAAAUGAUAAAAUUUAAUAAUUAAAUAACUAUUUUAUAACUUUUUAUAAUUGGGUGAUCAAAAUAAAAUUUACUAAUAUUUAAGUGAAUACUAAUUAAUUUAUUUAUUUUUCAUUUCGAUAAACAAACAAAUCGUGGACCAUAGAAUUUAAUCUCUCUUCACAAAAUCAGACAUGGGUUCUUUCUUUGGACAAUGGUUACCCAAAAUAGAGAAAAAUUUUCACAUAAAUGUUCGAUAUGAUUAGUGCCCCCACUAAACAGCUCAUCAUCUCAUAUUUAUCUAAAAUUGUGGUAUAAAUGUUUAUAGGGGUUAUGGGACAUCUCAAAUGGAUUAACGCUUCUUUUGGAGAGGAGUUAUGACUUUGUAAUAAUCCAAACAGACAGUAUAGAGGCCGUUCAAGUUAUUAAAGACUAGGCUUGUAAGGACUUGGACUCAACUUUAAUAAGAAGAAAUCAUCAAAUUUUGUCUAGUAUUAGACAUUGGGACAUUUGUCACAUUCCGAAGUCGAUGAAAUUGCUAAACUAGUUCAAGAAAUGAGGGAAUGUCUUUCAAGUGUUUGAAGUGUCCCCAUUGGGAAGUUUUAUUUUAUCGUAAUUUUUUAGGUUUUGUAUUUUCACCAAAUUUUUUUUAAGAAAAUAGAAAAUAAUAAUAAUUUUUGAAAACUCAAAGUACAAUUAUAUUAAAUUUGUGAUUUCAUCCAUAAUGUUAUUCAUAUCUAUCUAAUUAUUUGUCCUAAUCAUCCGAAAUUUAGGCCUAGUUUGGAUUGGUGGUACGUUUAACUGUAGUUAGUGUAAACAUAACGGUGGCGAUGAUAUUAGAUACUGUAGCGUGAGACAAAAAAUAAAUUAAAAGCACCGCACCCAAUCACCCAUCUAAAUCCACCUUAGUUAGUUACAAUCUAAAAUGAAAUAUAUAUUAAUAUAAUAAUAUAUUAUAUUGGUGUUUUGUUCAGUUUUAUUAUGGUUUAAAUUCAAAUAUAUUUCAAAUUUCAAUCUAUUAUAUUUUAUAUUGAGUUAUUCUAAUUUUAAUUGAUCAAAUAUGUAUUAUUUGUAACUUAUACUAAGCUUCUUCUUUUUUAAGUAACUCAUACUAUAUUUGUAGUUAUAAAUUCUUUCAAAAAAAUAAAUUAGGAUUCAUUAUAACAACACAAGCCAUGUUUUAAUAGAGCGUAUUACGAACUCAAAUCCUUUGAAUUUUUUUGAAAAAGUUUACAACUAGAAUAUAGUAAAUCAAGUACAACACAAUUAUAAAGUUGAAUUGAAUCAAUAUAAAUUACAAACAGAUUAAGAACGGGAAUAAAUUAAAUUAAAAUUCACACGUGACAAUUGCGUAUGAUGAGACUCAAGUUUUGGUAUACAAGACUCAAAAUCUCGACUUUUACCAACAAUGCCAAAACUUAUUCGACAGACAAUUCAAACCUCUUAUCCGAUAUCAAAAUACCAGUUGUAUUUUAAUUAUUUUUCACAAUCAAUCUAAAACUAUUCCAGAGGUAGAAUUAAAAUUGGUAUCAGUUUUAAAUAAAACCGGAUUAAUUGAUAUAUUGAUUCCAACAGAAUGAUUUUAAAGAAAACCACUCAAAACCAAGAUUUAUUGUAGUAGUGGAUGAACAACUGUGAAGAGCCAUAGAAUUUUUUUUUUCUAAGGAUAAGCUUCGAUGACGGAUUGAACUGCACGUAUAGGUUUAACGUUGAAUCGUGUAAAACCAGAUUGUCGAAGAACAUAGCUCCAUUCCUUUAAGGUCCUCUCUUUCCCUUUAUUAGUAACACCCAUCAUCGUCAUGUCUAGCAUCAACCCUACGCCACCUAGCUCGUCGCCUUCUUUAUCUUCUUCAAGAACUGCUUCAACGAUUAUAACCUUCCCUUUAUCUUCUGGAAUGGCUUCUCGACAUUUUUUUAGGAUUUUAAUGCAUUCCUCGUCGUCCCAAUCAUGCAAUACCCACUGCAAUGUGCCAUGUAUGGAUUAAUCGUAUAAGACCAUAUAAUGAAGGGAAAGAAAGUACUAACCAUGAAAAACGCUGCGUCGGCAUUUGGGAUAGACAUGAACAUGUCUCCUCCUACGUUUUCAAUGCUAUCGGAUUUUGCUGAAACGGCGACGACAUGAGGGAGAUCAAAGUUGAUGCCUCGAAUCCAUGGGAAUGCCUUGACUAAAAGGCUCAAAGCAGUCCCGUUACCACCACCGACAUCGACCAGGCUUUCGACUCCAUCAAACACUUCGGGACAUCCUUCGAUUGUCGCCUGCACCGUCAGUCUAGCAUCGCAACCCAUGGCGUUGUUAAAGAGUUCUCUAAAGUCGGGGUUCGCCUCGGCGUAGCUCCAUAGAUCUUUCCCAUUUGCUACUUCAAAUGGUGAGAUAUUAUUGCCGGUUUCAAGGACUCGAGCACUAAGACUAUGCCAGGGUGCUAAGCCAGUCGGGCUGGACAUGAGCAAUAUGAAAGCAGCCAUGGAUUUUUCUCCACCUUUUAUCAAAUGACGGGACAAUGGCGUCGAUGAGAAGCCUACGGUGUGUUGGUUGAUGGGUUCUUGUUUGAAUAUUCGGUCGUGGACCAUGAACCUCAUAAUGCGAUAAAGACGUGACGGUUCGCAUCGGAGGGCAGUGGCUAGCUCGGAGAGUGGCAUAGGGCUUCCAUAGUUUUCAAUAACGUCGGCAAUUCCAAGCUCAAUGGCACAUUUAACGACAGCUAUUUUAACAUAUCCUAACACAUAAUUCCAAAUCUUUAUUUCAGCUCUAGCUUCUUCCUCUAUUGUCACUUCCAUAUCUCCUAUCUCAACUUUUUCUUUUAAAAUUUUGUUAUUUUAGAACUUUUGGUAACUCUAUGCCCAAAUCUUGACUAUGAAGCUACGAUUUAUAGAAGCAAAGGUAUUGGUUUGAACUAGGUCACAGUUCUUGAAUUUGAAAAUAUCUUGUCAAAUAUGCUCCUAACCACAAAACAAUUAUUAGAUUAAUUUGGUAAAAAAAUUACAGUCCAAUUAUUUGAGGUGUACCAAAUAGUAUAUGUAACUUAGAUUUUGGUUAACUUUUACCAUAGUACUUCAAUAGCAAUUUAUAAAUUUAAUCUUUAUAUUUUUUUAUUGAUUAAUUUCUAUCACAUUUCAAAAAUCGAGCUAAAAAAAAUUGGAUUAAUGGAUCAAGAAUUAACACGUCAUGACUUUUAAUUAAAACUUUGUAAAAUUAUGAUAAAAAUGAAUUAUCAACUAAGAAGAGAGUCUAAUUGACUUAGAGACUUGAGUUAUGUUUCGUGGGAUAUUCUCACAUUUUUCUGCCAUUCACUUCUACUUUAUUUAUGUGGUAAUGGGUGUAUGUGUGUGAUAGUGGGAUUGAUGGGUUUUUUUAACCAACUUUAUUCAGGAUCUUUCAUUUUCUGGACACUUUUACCCAAAAUCAGACACAGCUCAUCAUCUCAUAUUAUCUAAAAUUGUGUGGUAUAUAUGUUUAUAGGGUCAACUCAAAAAAUAUUUUAAGAAAAUAAUAAUAAUUUUUGAAAAAUAAAAAUACAAUUUUAUAAAUUAUUGUUAUUUUAUCUUUUUUUUUCGUGUUUGUCUUCGUCCAUAAUGUUUGUUGACACCAUUUUUUUGGAUGAAAACGGGGUCGACUUGGAUUUUGAAAAAAGAAUGAAAACGGGAGUCGCUACCAAUCUUUUUUUGAUGAGGUGUGAUCGGGUCACCUCGAAAAGUGGUUGUUUUUAAUAAACAAUUUAAUUUUUAUUAAAACAACGAUUUUGGUCUGCGAAAUUCAGAAAAACGGGUUCGGGAGUCGGUUACGCACGAGGAAGGGUUAGCACCCUCGAUACGCCCAAAAUUGGUACCUAGUUGAUUACUUAAUGUCUUGGUGUCGAAAAUUAAAAACUCGAAAAGAAUUUAAAAAUACGAUCCUUAAAAGAAACUCUGAUAACGUGAAUUGAAAUAUAAGACUCUCUUGUUCCGAAUGAAUAUCACAUCCAGCACGUUAGGACACGAUACUCUAAACCAUCGAAACCAAGAUCACCUUAUAGUUUAAUGAAACCAUACUUUGAAGCUUUAAGAGGAUAUUUGGCUAUUUAGUCAAACGAGAAAUCGAAACCCAGCACGUUAGGGCACGUUUUCUCGAGUUUCCAAACGCGAAAUAUUGCCUUAUUUAGAAAAAUCUUAUCUCGAGGUAAUAAGAUGUCAUAUCCGGUGAGUUAGGACACAACACCUCAAAUCUCAGAGAGUAAGCAUUUUAUUUAACACUCGUAUUAUGAUUUUAAAGAAUAUGCCGUUAUUUAGGUUAAACGAGAAAAAUCGAAACCCAGUAAAUUAGGACACGAUUUUCUCGAAUUUCCAAGAACAGAAUAUUGCCUUAUUUUAUUUUUGUAUAUUCAAAUAAAUAUGUAUGCAAUGUUUAAAACCAUGCAUAUCAUUUGAGUUUCAGUGUAAAGAAUGAACCUUUAACAUGGCUCAUGAUGUGAUUGGAAUAAUAAUAGAAUGAUAACACGAAUAAACAACAUAACGACUUAUCUAUAAUAAUAAAACAACGAGUAUGCCGGGGCAAUUAGCAACUAAAUCUAAUAUUAAUUAAACCAUGAUAUACAUAAGAAUAAUAAUGAAAGAAAGUGGAAUAUGUAUAAAAAAUGAAUAUGCAAACAUCAAAAAGAAAUAAAUAAAUAACAAAGAAGGGUUAAAAUAAUAUAACAAUGACGAUAGUAAGAUUUGGUGAAAACAUGAGAUUAUAGACAAUCAUAUUUAAGAAAUAUAUGUAAUAAUGAACAAAAAAAAAUUGAAAUUAUAUAAAUAAAUAAAUCAAACAACUUGAAGUAAUACAAAAUUUAAGGAUAAAUAGGUGUACGUGUAAUAUUACAUUUAGAAAUAAAAAUAGCAAACAAAUAGUUAAAAGUAAUGUUGGAUAAUAAUCUAGGUAGAGUAUUAAAAAGGAAUAAUAAUAAAAAUACUAUGAUAGUAAUGAUGACAAUAUUAAUAAUCAAAUUGCAACAACAAAACGAACAAAGUGGCUCAAAAUAAAAUCAAAAUCAAAAUAGGAGGUGCAUAAUAAUAAAAGGUAAAAUAUAAGAAAUACAUAAUAAUAAUAAUAAUAAUAAUAAUAAUAAUAAUAAUCCGCGUAGUAGAAAACACAAAUAAUCUAAAUUUUAAAAUAUACGUGUAUAUAUAUAGAUAUAUAUAAAAGUACUUAAAUGGAAUAUUAUACAAAAUCUUAGGAUAAUAUAACAUGAAAAUUCUAAAAUAAUGAUUUUUCAACAAGGCAAAACCAAUAAAGCAAUUUUGGCAAAAAGAGAAAAAAAUAAUAAUAAAUAAAUAAAAAUAAUAAUAAUAAAUAAAAAAAUUGAAUGAAUCCUUUUGGAAAUAAGUAUUGAAUAGAUAAUAAGCCUAAUUAAAAUAAAUUUAAAAUAAAAGGGGUAAUCUGAAAAUAAAGAAACCAACAUGGGGGAUCACUGUGUAAUGUGCGCAAAUGCACAAGGACUAAAACUGGAAAUAAUCCAGGUCCCAUAAUGUAGUGCUUAGACGCGGACCGAAUUGCCAACAUGCGUAAAUUUUGAAGCCAAAUAAAAAAAGGAAGUGAAAUAAAUAAGGCAUGGUUGAGUGCUUGCACAAAGGGGGAGGACUCAAUGUGAAAUUCCCCUAUUUUCAACUUAAAAGGCGCAGAUCAGGCCUGUUAAACAAGUUGAAAUGCGGGCCUUCCUUUUCACAAAUAAUUUAAAACCCCUUUUUCAAAUGCAGCCACCUUUUAACUAAAAAAUCUAUAAUCCUAAAAUCAAUUAAACAUUGCAGCAAAAAAAAAGGAAAGAAAAAGGGGAAACCCAAAAUGUUUGCCCCCGUUUGGUCUGCCGUUCAACCACCAUCAGUCCACCAUGAACGAUGGAUGGUGGUCUACCAAAGCGUUCCCCUUAUGCCUUCAUUUAAAGCCCAGCCUCAAGACUCAUCAAUUUCGGCCUCAAAACCCCUCUCAACCUUCGACGCCGGCUAAGAAGACGAGGAUUUGGUGGCUCGUUCGCAAAGUAAGUCUUCUAUCUUCUCUUUAUUAUACUAAAACGCAUGCAGAGCAAAAAAGAAAACAAAAUAGACCUGAGAAAAAUAAUGUACAAGACUUUUGAAAUCUUUUUUUCUUUCUGAUUGCUCUUUUUUUUUUAUGCUUCAAUCUAUGUGUGUAUAAAAAUACAAUGUUUUUUUUUAUUCCCGAAAUUCCCCUAUUUUCAAUCAGUUCCCUCUCCCCAAAAUACCAUCGAUCCCCCUGUACAAUUUUUGAUUCGGGUUUUUAUAACCCAUUUUCAUCUAAUUUCCUAUUGUUUCUGUUUUGUCUCUUUGCAUGGGAUGGGCACGAUGGAGGUGACAGAGGCAUGGGGUGCAGACGGUGAUGGGCAUGCGUGGAGGCUGGCGCGGAGCAGAGGCGUGCGAGGUUGAGUGGUUGCGCACAUGGGGCAACGGCGCAAGUGGGCAAGUGGGGGGUUUGCUGGUAUGGGCCCGGGCAGAUUUUGGGCUUUACAGCUGCCCCUCUUUGCUCGUUGUCGUGUAACGAAAACAGAGCAAAGACCAAGGAAGACCAAAUUUGCCCGGGCUUACCGAGCCUUGGCUUCUUUUGGUACUUUUCUUCUUCAAGUAGCCUCGUUCUGUUCUGCUGUGUCUCGUUGCUUCAAUCCACUUCACUGCGCUCCAGAGAAACAUGACUUAAAUCUAUUUUGCUGCAACUCCAUGGGGAUGAGAUUUGUUGUUUUCUUCGUCUGCUCCACUACUGCUUAGGGAGAUAAGACUGAAUGCGAUCUGCUCCACUACUGCUUAGGGAGAUAAGAUCUGUAAUCUUCAAUCUACUUCAUGCCAAUACAUGAGACAAGAUCUACUUUCUUCGAUCUACUUUACCACCAGUAUGGGAAGACAAGAUCUGUAUCUUGGAUCCACUUCCUAUCAAUAUAGGAAGAUAGGACCUGCUAUCUUCGAUCUACUUCACGCCAAUACAUGAAGACAAGAUCUGCUUUCUGCGAUCUACUUCGCCACCAAUAUGAGAAGACAAGAUCUGCGUCGUCGAUCCACUUCCAAUCAUUAUGGGAAGAUAGGACCUGUUAUCUUUGAUCUACUUCACGCCAAUACAUGAAGACAAGAUCUGCUUUCUGCGAUCUACUUCGCCACCAAUAUGGGAAGACAAGAUCUGCGUCGUCGAUCCACUUCCAAUCAUUAUAGGAAGAUAGGACCUGUUAUCUUUGAUCUACUUCACGCCAAUACAUGAAGACAAGAUCUACUUUCUUCGAUCUACUUCGCCACCAAUAUGGGAAGACAAGAUCUGUAUCUUGGAUCCACUUCCUAUCAAUAUAGGAAGAUAGGACCUGCUAUCUUCGAUCUACCUCACGCCAAUACAUGAAGACAAGAUCUGCUUUCUGCGAUCUACUUCGCCACCAAUAUGGGAAGACAAGAUCUGCGUCGUCGAUCCACUUCCAAUCAUUAUAGGAAGAUAAGACCUGUUAUCUUUGAUCUACUUCACGCCAAUACAUGAAGACAAGAUCUGCUUUCUUUGAUCUACUUCGCCACCAAUAUGGGAAGACAAGAUCUGUAUCUUGGAUCCACUUCCUAUCAAUAUAGGAAGAUAGGACUUGCUAUCUUCGAUCUACUUCACGCCAAUACAUGAAGACAAGAUCUGCUUUCUGCGAUCUACUUCGCCACCAAUAUGGGAAGACAAGAUCUGCGUCGUCGAUCCACUUCCUACCAAUAUAGGAAGAUAGGAUCAGCUAUCUUCGAUCUAUUUCUUGCCCCGGGAGAUAGAACUAUCAGCUUCAAUGUACUCCAUUGUAAUCAGGGAGGUAAAAUCUGCCAUCUUCGAUCUGCUUUGCUGCCAAAUACAGGAAGGCAAGAUCUGCAAUCUUCAAUCUAUUCCACUGCCAAAUACAGGGAGAUAGAGUUAUCGGCUUCAAUGUACUCCCAUGUAGUCAGGGAGGUAAAAUCUGCCAUCUUUGAUCUUCAAUCUAUUCCACUGCCAAAUGCAGAGAGAUAGAGUUAUCGGCUUUAAUGUACUCCACUGUAGUCAGGGAGGUAAAAUCUGCCAUCUUUGAUCUUCAAUCUAUUCCACUGCCAAAUACAGGGAGAUAGAGUUAUCGGCUUCAAUGUACUCCACUGUGGUCAGGGAGGUAAAAUCUGCCAUCUUUGAUCUUCAAUCUAUUCCACUGCCAAAUACAGGGAGAUAGAGUUAUCGGCUUCAAUGUACUCCACUGUGGUCAGGGAGGUAAAAUCUGCCAUCUUUGAUCUUCAAUCUAUUCCACUGCCAAAUGCAGAGAGAUAGAGUUAUUGGCUUCAAUGUACUCCACUGUAGUCACAUGGAGGUAAAAUCUGCCAUCUUUGAUCUGCUUCGCUGCCAAAUACAGGAAGGCAAGAUCUGCAAUCUUCAAUCUAUUCCACUGCCAAAUACAGGGAGAUAGAGUUAUCGGCUUCACUGUACUCCUCUGUAGUCAGGGAGGUAAAAUCUGCCAUCUUCGAUCUGCUUUGCUGCCAAAUACAGAAAGACAAGAUCUGCAAUCUUCAAUCUAUUCCACUGCCAAAUACAGGGAGAUAGAGUUAUCGGCUUCAAUGUACUCCUCUGUAGUCAGGGAGGUAAAAUCUGCCAUCUUUGAUCUGCUUCGCUGCCAAAUACAGGAAAGAAAGAUCUGAUAUCUUCAACCAGCUCUGCUACAAACGAGAGAGGCAAGGUUUGUCUUCGAUCUGCUUCGCUGUCAGUGCAGGAAGGCAAGAUCUGCUAUCUUCAACCAGCUCUACUACAAACGAGAGUGGCAAGGUUUGUCUUUGAUCUGCUUCGCUGUCAAUGCAGGAAGGCAAGAUCUGAUAACUUCAACCAGCUCUGCUACGACCGAGAGAGGCAAGGUUUAUCUUCAAUUUUUACUGAUCUGUUCUCUAGGGAACAUGACAUGUAUAAUGAACCUAAUUAUGCCUAAUGAUUAGGAUGGCAUGAUCAAAAUGAAUCAAAUGCUCCUAACUAGACAUGCGUGAAUGGUAUUUGAAUGAAUGCAGAAUGUCAUGAAAAUAAUUCCUUAAUGCUUAGGUUAUCAUCGCUCAAAAGCUUAUUAAGGCUUUAUCACUAACGUGUCGCAACGCCUUCUUGACCAGCCGGCAUUUCUAAAGAAACACGUAAUCUGAUUGCCCCCACUGUGAACAUCGUAGUUCAAUCCAUUGUGACAUAAAAUUUGUACCAUCAAUCUCCUACUGUAACCCAAGGGUAGAAAGAUAUGGCUUUUUUCAAUCUUCUCCUAUCGUAAUUCAAGGGUAUAAGAUUUAAAUCCUUCUGGUCCCUUACAUCGUUCCCAAGGUGUCGUACCAAAGACUCAUGCGCAAACAAGGGCUCUCCUUCCCGAGGUAACCUCUUCCUAUUGCCUGAAGAUCAUCACUUUCUUGUUUAUUCAAGCUUUGUCACCAACAUGGCAUCUUGUCAAUCAACGCAUUUGACGACAAAAAUCCAAAGAGAAAGUCUAAAUUUAGACUAUUCCUUCCCAAAUUUCCAACCUUUAAAUUUGGAGUGUUCUAAACAAUUAUCCUGCUUCAGGCUCCUAUAUUAUUUAGAAACUUUUCAGAGUAAUAUGCAAAACUUCCUUCGUGAAAAUUUUAUUAGUCCAUUAAUCAUUAUUCCAAUGCAACAUGCUUGCAAAAGAUCAUAACGAUAGAUAAAAUAGAAUUGAUUUGAGAGCAUAGCUCAAAAUGGAUAAACUAUCAAGGAUAGCAAGAAUAAAAGGGGAAUUAAUUGGAAACACGUAUCUUGAAAAAGAAUGAAGUAUUCCAAGAAGAAAAAAAAGAAAAAAAAAGUAUGAGGACAAGAUGCCCCAGAUAUCGUAGCUUGAACUUCUCUGUACCAACUCUUUGAAAGACCAUUCUGUGUUUGACAUGUGUUUAGGAGAUCUACAAGACUUUGUCGAUGCCCCAAGAUGCUACCUACCCUUUCCUGUUGAAUCAGGUAUAGCAAGAUCAUUACAUGCCCCGAUUUGAUCAAAAUUUGAGCUGCUCUGAUCGCCUCAUGCCCCAAUUUGAUCCAAAAUUUGAGUCGCCCUUUUUUUGGGUUUUCAACUCAAGCCCCUUUGGUCUCAAGGCGCCCUUUGCGGGUUUUCACCUUGGCCUCUCCUUUUUUCACUCAUUUUACUUUUCUUCUUUUUCAUUAAUUUUCUCUUUUUUAAGUGAAGUAUUUGUUCCUUGAAUCAAAAUUCUCAAGAUUAGGCAAGUUCUUGCCAUCUAUCUUGGUUAAUACCUACACUCUCCCAGAUAAAGCCUUCCACAUAAGGUCCUUCUGGCUUGGCAUCCACUUUCUUCUGAAGUCUCCUUUGUAUGGGAAGGAUCUUCUUUGAUAUCGGGUCCCCUUUGUGGAAUUCUCUGGAGCAAACCUUGUUUUGGUGAACUCAUACCAUUUGCUUUUGGUACAUUUGACCAUGAUAGAUAUUUUGAACAUUCCUCUUCAACCAGGAUUGGAUCCAAAAACUCAAAGAGAAGGAAAUCUUGACCUCAAUAGGUAAAACCGCGAUAAGCCCAAAAAGAGGGCGUUGCCCUGAGAGAGUUUUUUUUGGCGAUAUGGUGUUAAUCUUGAACAGACUGCAAACUUCUGAUAUUGUGCUCUUGUUCAAAUUUAGUGCAUUGUCAAAUAUGAUCCUUUUCGACUCUUCAAGCUGACGUGAUCUUUUGCUGUCGACUUUGUGACAUUGGCAUAUGAAGCAGCUUCUUCCUGUGAAGAUAAACUGAUGACCGCUAGACUCUUUUGACGAGAUUGACCUAACAACCUUCAUGCCCCACAUAGGGGAAGUCAUGGACUCCAUUGAUUUUUCGUAAGGUGGAAUCUGUUUUUCACCUUGUUCUACCCUCCUCAAUAAGUACGGAGAUAGGCCACAAUCUAUGUCCUCUUCGAAGUCAUGAGAUUCCUCUAAACACAUGUCUCACUCAAAAGGAAGUUCUGAGUCUGUAGCAGUGUCAUUCAUGUCGUUGAUAUUCAGGGACCCGUUGUAGGUGCAAAAGAAUAUACAAAGAAUGUACGAAUUCAAGAAUAAUUAUCUGUACAGCAUGAUUAUGAAUGAAUGAAUGAUUUGGAAGAAAGAAUGAAAGAUUAAAAAUAAUUAUUCAUAAAGAAUGAAAGAAUAUUAGCUCAAAAAUGAUCGCAAAGAUGUAUUAAAAUAACGACGUUCAGACAUGAGCCUAUUUCACAAAAAGAGUUCAUAUUGCUUCAGGCUAAAAGCAACAAGUUUAUUCUGAAUAUUACUCUAAGUAGGUUCUAAAUACUACAGAGACUUCUUUUACAGUCUGAUUUAUUUAGAACACUUCCAAGUUUAUAAGGGUCGACAUCUAACAAAGUCCCUUCUUCAAUUGUGUCUUCAUGCAUGUCAUUGAUGUGAACACUUCCCAACAUCUCUUCAUACGUCGCAUUCACCUUAUUGUCAAUCAUGAUUGGGUAGCAGAUUUUCUGCCGUAGAUGAGUCACCCAACUUGACAAUACCCAUGUUGAUGAGUUUUUCAACUAGUUUCUUGAAGGUGAUGCAAUUCUCUAUUGAGUGCCCCGUAAUUCCUGCGUGGUAGUCACAGUGUGUGUUCGCAUUAUACCACUUUGUAUAUGGAGGUUGUGGGGGUUUUGAGUAGGAAGGGGAAACAACAUGUGCAUCGAAUAAAUUUUGAUACAACUCUUCAUAUGACAUUGGAAUUGGUGUGAACUGGAGGUUCUCAGUACCUGGUUUCACUCCAGGUUCUUGUCUCAAUGAGCCUUGUUGGUUAGCGACCAUUUUUCUUGGCUGAUUCACCGUAAUUGGUUUUGAAUAACCCUUGCUAUAUGUACUCGUGUUGUUCACCUCAUUGUCUUUGUGCUUUGGGGUUGAUCUCUUGAUGCCUUCUUCCGCAUCUAUCUUCCCACUUCUUACUGCAUUUUCAAUCAUUUCACCAGACAUCACUACAUCUGAGAAGCUCAUGGUAGCACUUCCUAACAUGUGGUUAAUGAACGGUGCUUUCAGAGUGUUGAUGAAAAGCAUCGUGGUUUCUUUCUCUAAAAGAGGUGGCUGGACCUGUGUCGCGACCUCUCUCCAUCUUUGGGCAUAUUGCCUAAAGCUCUCACUUUGCUUCUUUUCCAUGUUCUGCAAUGUGAUUCUAUCGGGUGUCAUAUCUGUCACAUGGUUGUACUGCUUUAUGAAAGCCUGUGCUAAGUCCUCCCAUGAAUGGAUGUUGACGCGACUUAACUGGUUGUACCACUUAGCUGCAGACCCGAUCAGACUGUCCUGGAAGCAGUGGAUCAACAGUUGAUCAUUGUUGAUGUAUCCUAUCAUUCUUCGACAGAACAUAGUUAUAUGAGCUUUAGGACAACUAGUCCCGUUGUACUUUUCAAACUCCGGCAUUUUGAAUUUGGGAGGGAGUACUAGAUCAGGUACCAAACUCAAGUCCUUGGCGUCGACUCCACAAUGGUAGUCGGUGUUCUCCAUGGCUCUAAAUUUCUCCUCUAGCCAUCUACAUCGGUCCUCAAGUUGUUUUGACAAGUCUGUUUUUACUUUCUCCAUCUCUGCCAUGUUAUCGAGAUCAGGAAAUACGGGGUUGGUAGGAUUAUCACCGGGAUUAGAACCCGAGCCUAUUGGAAAGUUUAUCGAUGCCGGGGCACCGACCUGGUAUUGGGAUCUAAUGGUAACAGGUGCCCUCUGCGGGUACACCUCUGGUUGCACUUGGAUGUUAGUUGGGGUGAAACCUGGAGGAUAGGCAGGGUCAUCGUGAUCAUCCCCAGCAUCAACUAAAGGGCCUUUUCCUUUUUCAUUCCUUCCAGUCAAUAACUGCUUUAAUUGGUUCAUCACAGUGUUCUGGGAUUCUAACAUGUCUUGCUGAAUUUUUUCCAGUCGUUCGUGCAUCUGAUCUUGCAUCUCUCGUUGCAACUGUUCCAAUCUUUCCAACCUUUGAUCCAUUGUUUUCGUUUGGCGACGAGUACCGUAGUGAUAUUUGAUUAGAUUUUUGUUGGUUUCCAGGGUAACUGAAAUAAUUUUACCUAGUUAGGGUCACUUCGUGAAAGUCUAAUGCAUAUGAUGUAAUGCAAAUGCAUGAAAUGAAUGCCAAAAGAAACGUUAAUUCUUGGUUCAAUUCUAUUAGAACAACUGGAAUAGAAAACAAAUCUAUUUACAUAAAGCAGAUAUAUAUACGGCUUUGCCGUCAUAGGCGGGAACAUUCGAUCCUCUUCUUCAUUCGAGCGUUAAGAUAAAUCUCCCGAACUCUUCAAAAGGGACAUCCCUUCUAUCUCUUUUUUCUUCAUCUGGGCCGCGACUCGUUACUCAUUCAUCCUUGUGAUGCUCGUUGGCUUCUCUUUAAAAAGUUUAGCGGUUCUCGAAUAAUCUUUAUCAUCUUGAGUCUUCAGCCAACGAGGCAAAGUCAUAUAGUCCUCUACUGAACUAUCAUCCUUCUUUUGUUAUAUCUUCUCGGACCGUAUUAGGACAACCGUAUCGUCAUCCACUUUAUCAAGAAACCCAUUUUCUUAUGACAAGCUCUCUAUUUAGCAAUUGAACGUGAAUCAACACCUCUUUUUAUGAUGAAAAUGCAAUGCAAUCAUAGCAAAAAGAAAACAUGUUAGUACAAAGCAAAAGCAAGCAAGAAUAAAUAGAACACCUAUUUGGGUGAAUACUAGGGGUUCGAAGUGGUUCUACCUAGGGUGGGCUCCUAAGGUUCACUACAUGGGGUUUGGUUCUAAAGUAAGGGUACCUGAACCAGCAGAUUCCUCGAUCCUCACCCAUUAUAGGCUCAUAUGGACCGAGUUCAGUUCAGGGGAAUACAUUUCCCUAUGGCCAUGCGGAGAUGAAAAUCUCACGAAGACAUAGGUACGGAUGUAUCCCGGAAGCGAUUCACUAUCCCAUGCGGAGGUGAAAACCUCACGAAGGCGUAGUUUCUCACUCCCACUUAAAAGGGUAUGACCAGCGGUCAUGCAAUGCAAUGUGCAGAGGUAUAAAACAAAAUACAGAACAUGAUAAAAAAAAUAUAACUCAAAAUAAAAGAGAUGCAAUGAGAGGAUCGUAAAUUUAAAUCGAAUUUUCCACUUUCAACCAAAAGACAAGAAAUAAUCAACACGUGGCUUGACUCUCUUACUAUCCCCAGUGGAGUCGCCAAGCUGUUGACACCAUUUUUUUGGAUGAAAACGGGGUCGACUUGGAUUUUGAAAAAAGAAUGAAAACGGGAGUCGCCACCAAUCUUUUUUUGAUGAGGUGUGAUCAGGUCACCUCGAAAAGUGGUUAUUUUUAAUAAACAAUUUAAUUUUUAUUAAAACAACGAUUUUGGUCUGCGAAAUUCAGAAAAACGGGUUCGGGAGUCGGUUACGCACGAGGAAGGGUUAGCACCCUCGAUACGCCCAAAAUUGGUACCUAGUUGAUUACUUAAUGUCUUGGUGUCAAAAAUUAAAAACUCGAAAAGAAUUUAAAAAUACGAUCCUUAAAAGAAACUCUGAUAACGUGAAUUGAAAUAUAAGACUCUCUUGUUCCGAAUGAAUAUCACAUCCAGCACGUUAGGACACGAUACUCUAAACCAUCGAAACCAAGAUCACCUUAUAGUUUAAUGAAACCAUACUUUGAAGCUUUAAGAGGAUAUUUGGCUAUUUAGUCAAACGAGAAAUCAAAAUCCAGCACGUUAGGGCACGUUUUCUCGAGUUUCCAAACGCGAAAUAUUGCCUUAUUUAGAAAAAUCUUAUCUCGAGGUAAUAAGAUGUCAUAUCCGGUGAGUUAGGACACAACACCUCAAAUCUCAGAGAGUAAGCAUUUUAUUUAACACUCGUAUUAUGAUUUUAAAGAAUAUGCCGUUAUUUAGGUUAAACGAGAAAAAUCGAAACCCAGUAAAUUAGGACACGAUUUUCUCGAAUUUCCAAGAACAGAAUAUUGCCUUAUUUUAUUUUUGUAUAUUCAAAUAAAUAUGUAUGCAAUGUUUAAAACCAUGCAUAUCAUUUGAGUUUCAGUGUAAAGAAUGAACCUUUAACAUGGCUCAUGAUGUGAUUGGAAUAAUAAUAGAAUGAUAACACGAAUAAACAACAUAACGACUUAUCUAUAAUAAUAAAACAACGAGUAUGCCGGGGCAAUUAGCAACUAAAUCUAAUAUUAAUUAAACCAUGAUAUACAUAAGAAUAAUAAUGAAAGAAAGUGGAAUAUGUAUAAAAAAUGAAUAUGCAAACAUCAAAAAGAAAUAAAUAAAUAACAAAGAAGGGUUAAAAUAAUAUAACAAUGACGAUAGUAAGAUUUGGUGAAAACAUGAGAUUAUAGACAAUCAUAUUUAAGAAAUAUAUGUAAUAAUGAACAAAAAAAAUUGAAAUUAUAUAAAUAAAUAAAUCAAACAACUUGAAGUAAUACAAAAUUUAAGGAUAAAUAGGUGUACGUGUAAUAUUACAUUUAGAAAUAAAAAUAGCAAACAAAUAGUUAAAAGUAAUGUUGGAUAAUAAUCUAGGUAGAGUAUUAAAAAGGAAUAAUAAUAAAAAUACUAUGAUAGUAAUGAUGACAAUAUUAAUAAUCAAAUUGCAACAACAAAACGAACAAAGUGGCUCAAAAUAAAAUCAAAAUCAAAAUAGGAGGUGCAUAAUAAUAAAAGGUAAAAUAUAAGAAAUACAUAAUAAUAAUAAUAAUAAUAAUAAUAAUAAUAAUAAUCCGCGUAGUAGAAAACACAAAUAAUCUAGAUUUUAAAAUAUACGUGUAUAUAUAUAGAUAUAUAUAAAAGUACUUAAAUGGAAUAUUAUACAAAAUGUUAGGAUAAUAUAACAUGAAAAUUCUAAAAUAAUGAUUUUUCAACAAGGCAAAACCAAUAAAGCAAUUUUGGCAAAAAGAGAAAAAAAUAAUAAUAAAUAAAUAAAAAUAAUAAUAAUAAAUAAAAAAAUUGAAUGAAUCCUUUUGGAAAUAAGUAUUGAAUAGAUAAUAAGCCUAAUUAAAAUAAAUUUAAAAUAAAAGGGGUAAUCUGAAAAUAAAGAAACCAACAUGGGGGAUCACUGUGUAAUGUGCGCAAAUGCACAAGGACUAAAACUGGAAAUAAUCCAGGUCCCAUAAUGUAGUGCUUAGACGCGGACCGAAUUGCCAACAUGCGUAAAUUUUGAAGCCAAAUAAAAAAAGGAAGUGAAAUAAAUAAGGCAUGGUUGAGUGCUUGCACAAAGGGGGAGGACUCAACGUGAAAUUCCCCUAUUUUCAACUUAAAAGGCGCAGAUCAGGCCUGUUAAACAAGUUGAAAUGCGGGCCUUCCUUUUCACAAAUAAUUUAAAACCCCUUUUUCAAAUGCAGCCACCUUUUAACUAAAAAAUCUAUAAUCCUAAAAUCAAUUAAACAUUGCAGCAAAAAAAAAGGAAAGAAAAAGGGGAAACCCAAAAUGUUUGCCCCCGUUUGGUCUGCCGUUCAACCACCAUCAGUCCACCAUGAACGAUGGAUGGUGGUCUACCAAAGCGUUCCCCUUAUGCCUUCAUUUAAAGCCCAGCCUCAAGACUCAUCAAUUUCGGCCUCAAAACCCCUCUCAACCUUCGACGCCGGCUAAGAAGACGAGGAUUUGGUGGCUCGUUCGCAAAGUAAGUCUUCUAUCUUCUCUUUAUUAUACUAAAACGCAUGCAGAGCAAAAAAGAAAACAAAAUAGACCUGAGAAAAAUAAUGUACAAGACUUUUGAAAUCUUUUUUUCUUUCUGAUUGCUCUUUUUUUUUUAUGCUUCAAUCUAUGUGUGUAUAAAAAUACAAUGUUUUUUUUAUUCCCGAAAUUCCCCUAUUUUCAAUCAGUUCCCUCUCCCCAAAAUACCAUCGAUCCCCCUGUACAAUUUUUGAUUCGGGUUUUUAUAACCCAUUUUCAUCUAAUUUCCUAUUGUUUCUGUUUUGUCUCUUUGCAUGGGAUGGGCACGAUGGAGGUGACAGAGGCAUGGGGUGCAGACGGUGAUGGGCAUGCGUGGAGGCUGGCGCGGAGCAGAGGCGUGCGAGGUUGAGUGGUUGCGCACAUGGGGCAACGACGCAAGUGGGCAAGUGGGGGGUUUGCUGGUAUGGGCCCGGGCAGAUUUUGGGCUUUACAAUGUUUAUCGAUGCUUAUCAGAUUAUUUACCCUAAAUAUUUAUUGUCACUCUUCCAGUAUAAGACUUAUUUCAUUCGAACUUUAAUUGGUUAAAACUUAAAAUGAAAUAUUAUUAUAUUAGAGAGAUUUAUUAUUGUUUAAAUUUGAAUAUAUUUUAAUUUUUAAUCUAUUAUAUUUUUGAAUUGAUUUAUUCUAAUUCUAAUUGAUCAAAUAUGUAUUAUUUGUAACUUUUACUAAAAUUUUUUUAAUACGAUACAUUAUGUUCGUACCCUUUAAAAUUUUUUUGAAAAAUUUUAAAAAUAGAAUAUAGUAUAAUCAAGUACGACCACGUAUGUAUGAUGAUAUAUAAGGAAUUAUAAAGUUGAAUUAAACUAAUAUAAACUGCAAAUAAAUUAAGAAUCGGAAUAAUUUGAACUAAAAACGACGUAGAACAAUUGUGCAGGAAGAGAUUCAGACUUUAGUACACAAAAUCUAAGACCUUGACCUUUAUCAACAACUUCGAAACUUACUUUAUCCGGAUCAAAAUAACAAUCAUAUUUUAAUUGUUUUUUGCAUUCAAUCAAAAAUUAUUCCAGAGAUAGAAUUGAAGAUUGAAAUAAUUAUUGAACAAAGGGAAUUACUAAACGAAGAGCAAGACUGAAACAUUUCUCAUGCAACAAAGUUUUAAUUGUUUUGUAGAAGUGGAUGAACGACUGUGAAGAGCCAUAGAUGUUGUUUUCUAAGGAUAACCCUCGAUGACGGAUUGAACUGCACGUAUGGGAUUAACAGUGAAUCAUUUAAAACCAGAUUGUCGAAGAACAUAGCUCCAUUCCUUUAAGGUCCUCUCUUUCCCUUUAUCAAUAUGAGCCAUCAUCGCCAUGUCUAGCAUCAACCCCACGAAACCUAGCUCGUCGUCUUCUUUAUCUUCUUCAAGAGCUGCUUCAACGAUUAUAACCUUCCCUUUAUCUUCUGGAAUGGCUUCUCGACAUUUUUUUAGGAUUUUAAUGCAUUCCUCGUCGUCCCAAUCAUGCAAUAUCCACUGCAAUUUGCAAUGUAUGGAUUAAUCGUAUAAGACCAUAUAAUGAAGGGAAAAAAAGUACUAACCAUUAAAAACGCUGCGUCGGCGUUUGGGAUAGACAUGAACAUGUCGCCUCCUACGUUUUCAAUGCUACCGGAUUUUGGUGCAACGGCAACGACAUGAGGGAGAUCAAAGUUGAUGCCUCGAAUCCAAGGGAAUGCCUUGACUAAAAGGCUCAAAGUAGUCACGUUACCACCACCGACAUCGACCAGGCUUUCGACUCCGUCGAACACUUCGGGACAUCCUUCGAUUGUCGCCUGCACCGCCAGUCUAGCAUCGCAACCCAUGGCAUCGUUGAAGAGUUAUCUAUGGCCGGGGUUUGUCUCGAACUAGCUCCAUGGAUCUUUCCCGUUCGCAGCUUCAAAUGGUGAGAUAUCAUUGCCGGUUUCAAGGACUCGAGCACUAAGACUAUGCCAUGGUGCUAACCAAGUCGGGCUGGACUCGAGCAAUAUAAAAGGGCCCAUGGAUUUUUCUCCAUCUUUUAUCAAACGACGAGACAAUGGCGUAGAUGAGAAGCCUACAGUGUGUUGGUUGAUGGGUUCCUGUUUGAAUAUUCGGUCGUGGACCAUGAACCUCAUAAUGCGAUAAAGACGCGACGGUUCGCAUCGGAGGGCAGUGGCUAGCUCGGAUAGUGGCAUAGGGCUUCCAUAGUUUUCAAUAACAUUGGCAAUCCCAAGCUCAAUGGCACAUUUAACGACAGCUAUUUUAGCAUACCCGAACACAUAAUUCCAAAUAUCUACUUCAGCUCUAGCUUCUUCUUCUUCGAUUCCACUCACUUCCAUUAUUAUUAUUUUUCUCUUGGAAAACUUUAUAAUUCUAUUCGCAACUCUUGAGGAUGAAAAGUUUUGUUGAAGACCCCGAUUUAUACGAGCAAAGGGUUAGAUUUUCUCUCUUCAAUUUCAGUUUUUUUCCUAAAAUAAAUUAAAUCUAAUUGAAAAUAUCAAAAUUUAGGAGAAAAACUGAUGUGACAUUAUGACAUUAAAUUAUUAAAAAAUGAUACAAAUGGCGUGUGAUUUCAAAUUCAUACAAUCAUGAUGAACAUCCUAAAAUAAUAUAAUUAUCAUGAUAUAACUUGGUGGAACAUUUUUUAAUAUAUAUAUUUAUGUGUUUUUUAAUGGAAUUUUUUUUAAUAUAGUUGUUUCCACCACUGAUUUCCUUUGGAAAAUUUUAGUUAUUAUCGUGAUUAAAAUUGCUUGAUUCUGCUCAACUAAUAAGGGAGAUUUUUUAUAAAUUGUAUUAUUGAACCUAAAAGUUUAACCAUGAAGGAGUGGUUGAAUGACAUUGAAUAAAAAUAAUAAAAGCUUAAUAUAUUAAUUGAUCCUUGAAUUUAACAGUUUUUCUCACAUUAGUUCUUAGAUAUUUCUUUGGAUUAUAUUAGUCUCUAAAUUUGGCAACCAUUACAGACACCAAUUUCUAAGGUUAAGGGUGGGUUUGGAUAGGCGGUACGUUUACUUACGAUUAGUGUAAAAACAGCAGUGGCAGUGAGAUUAGAUACUGUAGCGAUAUUGUAGUGUGAGACAAAAAGUAAGAUAAACGCACCGCACCCAGUCAUCCAUCCAAACUCACCCUAACACCAUUUAGUUUUUAGCAAUUUUGGUGACAUGGACUAAUAUCGUUGUGAUACAUGCUAUAUAUAUAUAUAUAUUCAACUUUCUUUAUAAUAACUACCCAUUAUAACACAACAUUUCGCUAUAACAAUAAAAUUUUUAUCAGAAUUGAUUUUUUAUGUUUUAUUUUAACCUUCUAUAAUAAUUUUUCACUUAUAACAAUAAUAGCUAUAAUUAUGAAGUACAUCCUUUGUUAAAUCAGUUCUUUAAAACAACACCUUGCUUAAAAUUUUAAGUAAAACUAUAACUAUUCAUAUAAGCAAACCUAUUACUUAGAAUUUGAUCUUCUUCUUUUGUUCUUUUCCUUUUUCUUUCUUUUAAUUUUACAUUUUUUUAUAACAUUGAGAGUUAAUCUUAAAAGAAAGAAUAACAAUAAAAGUUAUUAUUUAGAAUUUUUGGGUGUUUUCAUUUUUUUUUGUUUAUUUUCAAUCAAAUUUAGCUAAUAAAUUAGACUUUUAGCUUUUUAGGUGAAAAGAUCAGAAGAACAACAAAAUUACAAAAAAAAGACCAAAUUACACAAUGUGUAAACAUUGAGGGUUAGAUUGUUUAGAAUCAAGACUAAUUUGACCCAAUAUAUAAAUGUUAAAGAUUAAGGUUGCCAUUAUGCCAAUUUUAGAAGCUACCACCGCUAGCUUGUUGGUGACAAAAAAUGAUAAAAUUUAAUAAUUAAAUAACUAUUUUAUAACUUUUUAUAAUUGGGUGAUCAAAAUAAAAUUUACUAAUAUUUAAGUGAAUACUAAUUAAUUUAUUUAUUUUUCAUUUCGAUAAACAAACAAAUCGUGGACCAUAGAAUUUAAUCUCUCUUCACAAAAUCAGACAUGGGUUCUUUCUUUGGACAAUGGUUACCCAAAAUAGAGAAAAAUUUUCACAUAAAUGUUCGAUAUGAUUAGUGCCCCCACUAAACAGCUCAUCAUCUCAUAUUUAUCUAAAAUUGUGGUAUAAAUGUUUAUAGGGGUUAUGGGACAUCUCAAAUGGAUUAACGCUUCUUUUGGAGAGGAGUUAUGACUUUGUAAUAAUCCAAACAGACAGUAUAGAGGCCGUUCAAGUUAUUAAAGACUAGGCUUGUAAGGACUUGGACUCAACUUUAAUAAGAAGAAAUCAUCAAAUUUUGUCUAGUAUUAGACAUUGGGACAUUUGUCACAUUCCGAAGUCGAUGAAAUUGCUAAACUAGUUCAAGAAAUGAGGGAAUGUCUUUCAAGUGUUUGAAGUGUCCCCAUUGGGAAGUUUUAUUUUAUCGUAAUUUUUUAGGUUUUGUAUUUUCACCAAAUUUUUUUUAAGAAAAUAGAAAAUAAUAAUAAUUUUUGAAAACUCAAAGUACAAUUAUAUUAAAUUUGUAAUUUCAUCCAUAAUGUUAUUCAUAUCUAUCUAAUUAUUUGUCCUAAUCAUCCGAAAUUUAGGCCUAGUUUGGAUUGGUGGUACGUUUAACUGUAGUUAGUGUAAACAUAACGGUGGCGAUGAUAUUAGAUACUGUAGCGUGAGACAAAAAAUAAAUUAAAAGCACCGCACCCAAUCACCCAUCUAAAUCCACCUUAGUUAGUUACAAUCUAAAAUGAAAUAUAUAUUAAUAUAAUAAUAUAUUAUAUUGGUGUUUUGUUCAGUUUUAUUAUGGUUUAAAUUCAAAUAUAUUUCAAAUUUCAAUCUAUUAUAUUUUAUAUUGAGUUAUUCUAAUUUUAAUUGAUCAAAUAUGUAUUAUUUGUAACUUAUACUAAGCUUCUUCUUUUUUAAGUAACUCAUACUAUAUUUGUAGUUAUAAAUUCUUUCAAAAAAAUAAAUUAGGAUUCAUUAUAACAACACAAGCCAUGUUUUAAUAGAGCGUAUUACGAACUCAAAUCCUUUGAAUUUUUUUGAAAAAGUUUACAACUAGAAUAUAGUAAAUCAAGUACAACACAAUUAUAAAGUUGAAUUGAAUCAAUAUAAAUUACAAAUAGAUUAAGAACGGGAAUAAAUUAAAUUAAAAUUCACACGUGACAAUUGCGUAUGAUGAGACUCAAGUUUUGGUAUACAAGACUCAAAAUCUCGACUUUUACCAACAAUGCCAAAACUUAUUCGACAGACAAUUCAAACCUCUUAUCCGAUAUCAAAAUACCAGUUGUAUUUUAAUUAUUUUUCACAAUCAAUCUAAAACUAUUCCAGAGGUAGAAUUAAAAUUGGUAUCAGUUUUAAAUAAAACCGGAUUAAUUGAUAUAUUGAUUCCAACAGAAUGAUUUUAAAGAAAACCACUCAAAACCAAGAUUUAUUGUAGUAGUGGAUGAACAACUGUGAAGAGCCAUAGAAUUUUUUUUUUCUAAGGAUAAGCUUCGAUGACGGAUUGAACUGCACGUAUAGGUUUAACGUUGAAUCGUGUAAAACCAGAUUGUCGAAGAACAUAGCUCCAUUCCUUUAAGGUCCUCUCUUUCCCUUUAUUAGUAACACCCAUCAUCGUCAUGUCUAGCAUCAACCCUACGCCACCUAGCUCGUCGCCUUCUUUAUCUUCUUCAAGAACUGCUUCAACGAUUAUAACCUUCCCUUUAUCUUCUGGAAUGGCUUCUCGACAUUUUUUUAGGAUUUUAAUGCAUUCCUCGUCGUCCCAAUCAUGCAAUACCCACUGCAAUGUGCCAUGUAUGGAUUAAUCGUAUAAGACCAUAUAAUGAAGGGAAAGAAAGUACUAACCAUGAAAAACGCUGCGUCGGCAUUUGGGAUAGACAUGAACAUGUCUCCUCCUACGUUUUCAAUGCUAUCGGAUUUUGCUGAAACGGCGACGACAUGAGGGAGAUCAAAGUUGAUGCCUCGAAUCCAUGGGAAUGCCUUGACUAAAAGGCUCAAAGCAGUCCCGUUACCACCACCGACAUCGACCAGGCUUUCGACUCCAUCAAACACUUCGGGACAUCCUUCGAUUGUCGCCUGCACCGUCAGUCUAGCAUCGCAACCCAUGGCGUUGUUAAAGAGUUCUCUAAAGUCGGGGUUCGCCUCGGCGUAGCUCCAUAGAUCUUUCCCAUUUGCUACUUCAAAUGGUGAGAUAUUAUUGCCGGUUUCAAGGACUCGAGCACUAAGACUAUGCCAGGGUGCUAAGCCAGUCGGGCUGGACAUGAGCAAUAUGAAAAGCAGCCAUGGAUUUUUCUCCACCUUUUAUCAAAUGACGGGACAAUGGCGUCGAUGAGAAGCCUACGGUGUGUUGGUUGAUGGGUUCUUGUUUGAAUAUUCGGUCGUGGACCAUGAACCUCAUAAUGCGAUAAAGACGUGACGGUUCGCAUCGGAGGGCAGUGGCUAGCUCGGAGAGUGGCAUAGGGCUUCCAUAGUUUUCAAUAACGUCGGCAAUUCCAAGCUCAAUGGCACAUUUAACGACAGCUAUUUUAACAUAUCCUAACACAUAAUUCCAAAUCUUUAUUUCAGCUCUAGCUUCUUCCUCUAUUGUCACUUCCAUAUCUCCUAUCUCAACUUUUUCUUUUAAAAUUUUGUUAUUUUAGAACUUUUGGUAACUCUAUGCCCAAAUCUUGACUAUGAAGCUACGAUUUAUAGAAGCAAAGGUAUUGGUUUGAACUAGGUCACAGUUCUUGAAUUUGAAAAUAUCUUGUCAAAUAUGCUCCUAACCACAAAACAAUUAUUAGAUUAAUUUGGUAAAAAAAUUACAGUCCAAUUAUUUGAGGUGUACCAAAUAGUAUAUGUAACUUAGAUUUUGGUUAACUUUUACCAUAGUACUUCAAUAGCAAUUUAUAAAUUUAAUCUUUAUAUUUUUUUAUUGAUUAAUUUCUAUCACAUUUCAAAAAUCGAGCUAAAAAAAAUUGGAUUAAUGGAUCAAGAAUUAACACGUCAUGACUUUUAAUUAAAACUUUGUAAAAUUAUGAUAAAAAUGAAUUAUCAACUAAGAAGAGAGUCUAAUUGACUUAGAGACUUGAGUUAUGUUUCGUGGGAUAUUCUCACAUUUUUCUGCCAUUCACUUCUACUUUAUUUAUGUGGUAAUGGGUGUAUGUGUGUGAUAGUGGGAUUGAUGGGUUUUUUUAACCAACUUUAUUCAGGAUCUUUCAUUUUUUGGACACUUUUACCCAAAAUCAGACACAGCUCAUCAUCUCAUAUUAUCUAAAAUUGUGUGGUAUAUAUGUUUAUAGGGUCAACUCAAAAAAUAUUUUAAGAAAAUAAUAAUAAUUUUCGAAAAAUAAAAAUACAAUUUUAUAAAUUAUUGUUAUUUUAUCUUUUUUUUUCGUGUUUGUCUUCGUCCAUAAUGUUUAUCGAUGCUUAUCAGAUUAUUUACCCUAAAUAUUUAUUGUCACUCUUCCAGUAUAAGACUUAUUUCAUUCGAACUUUAAUUGGUUAAAACUUAAAAUGAAAUAUUAUUAUAUUAGAGAGAUUUAUUAUUGUUUAAAUUUGAAUAUAUUUUAAUUUUUAAUCUAUUAUAUUUUUGAAUUGAUUUAUUCUAAUUCUAAUUGAUCAAAUAUGUAUUAUUUGUAACUUUUACUAAAAUUUUUUUAAUACGAUACAUUAUGUUCGUACCCUUUAAAAUUUUUUUGAAAAAUUUUAAAAAUAGAAUAUAGUAUAAUCAAGUACGACCACGUAUGUAUGAUGAUAUAUAAGGAAUUAUAAAGUUGAAUUAAACUAAUAUAAACUGCAAAUAAAUUAAGAAUCGGAAUAAUUUGAACUAAAAACGACGUAGAACAAUUGUGCAGGAAGAGAUUCAGACUUUAGUACACAAAAUCUAAGACCUUGACCUUUAUCAACAACUUCGAAACUUACUUUAUCCGGAUCAAAAUAACAAUCAUAUUUUAAUUGUUUUUUGCAUUCAAUCAAAAAUUAUUCCAGAGAUAGAAUUGAAGAUUGAAAUAAUUAUUGAACAAAGGGAAUUACUAAACGAAGAGCAAGACUGAAACAUUUCUCAUGCAACAAAGUUUUAAUUGUUUUGUAGAAGUGGAUGAACGACUGUGAAGAGCCAUAGAUGUUGUUUUCUAAGGAUAACCCUCGAUGACGGAUUGAACUGCACGUAUGGGAUUAACAGUGAAUCAUUUAAAACCAGAUUGUCGAAGAACAUAGCUCCAUUCCUUUAAGGUCCUCUCUUUCCCUUUAUCAAUAUGAGCCAUCAUCGCCAUGUCUAGCAUCAACCCCACGAAACCUAGCUCGUCGUCUUCUUUAUCUUCUUCAAGAGCUGCUUCAACGAUUAUAACCUUCCCUUUAUCUUCUGGAAUGGCUUCUCGACAUUUUUUUAGGAUUUUAAUGCAUUCCUCGUCGUCCCAAUCAUGCAAUAUCCACUGCAAUUUGCAAUGUAUGGAUUAAUCGUAUAAGACCAUAUAAUGAAGGGAAAAAAAGUACUAACCAUUAAAAACGCUGCGUCGGCGUUUGGGAUAGACAUGAACAUGUCGCCUCCUACGUUUUCAAUGCUACCGGAUUUUGGUGCAACGGCAACGACAUGAGGGAGAUCAAAGUUGAUGCCUCGAAUCCAAGGGAAUGCCUUGACUAAAAGGCUCAAAGUAGUCCCGUUACCACCACCGACAUCGACCAGGCUUUCGACUCCGCCGAACACUUCGGGACAUCCUUCGAUUGUCGCCUGCACCGCCAGUCUAG
RNAcentral lists this long non-coding RNA (29966 nucleotides) under Gossypium barbadense (sea-island cotton). RNAcentral describes it as "long non-coding RNA (GBAR_LNC015846)". Lineage: Eukaryota; Viridiplantae; Streptophyta; Magnoliopsida; Malvales; Malvaceae. The record is from RNAcentral.